GGCAUGCGAGCUACCAUGCAGUCGAGCGGUAACAGAGAGUAGCUUGCUACUCUGCUGACCAGCGGCGGACGGGUGAGUAAUGCUUGGGAAUGUACCUUAUGGUGGGGGACAACAGUUGGAAACGACUGCUAAUACCGCAUAAUGUCUUCGGACCAAAGCGGGGGACCUUCGGGCCUCGCGCCAUAAGAUCAGCCCAAGUGGGAUUAGCUAGUUGGUGAGGUAAUGGCUCACCAAGGCGACGAUCCCUAGCUGGUUUGAGAGGAUGAUCAGCCACACUGGGACUGAGACACGGCCCAGACUCCUACGGGAGGCAGCAGUGGGGAAUAUUGCACAAUGGGCGCAAGCCUGAUGCAGCCAUGCCGCGUGUGUGAAGAAGGCCUUCGGGUUGAAAAGCACUUUCAGUAAGGAAGAAAGGUUGGAUGUUAAUAGCAUUCAGCUGUGACGUUACUUACAGAAGAAGCACCGGCUAACUCCGUGCCAGCAGCCGCGGUAAUACGGAGGGUGCGAGCGUUAAUCGGAAUUACUGGGCGUAAAGCGUACGCAGGCGGUUUGUUAAUCGAGAUGUGAAAGCCCCGGGCUCAACCUGGGAACUGCAUUUCAAACUGGCAAACUAGAGUGUGAUAGAGGGUGGUAGAAUUUCAGGUGUAGCGGUGAAAUGCGUAGAGAUCUGAAGGAAUACCGAUGGCGAAAGCAGCCACCUGGGUCACGCUUGACGCUCAUGUACGAAAGCGUGGGGGAGCAAACAGGUUAGAUCCCUGG
This 759-nucleotide ribosomal RNA is filed under the name Pseudoalteromonas sp. Its description in RNAcentral is "bacterial SSU rRNA". It matches the Rfam family "Bacterial small subunit ribosomal RNA", at positions 41 to 790 of the family's 1533-position model. Lineage: Bacteria; Pseudomonadati; Pseudomonadota; Gammaproteobacteria; Alteromonadales; Pseudoalteromonadaceae. The record is from RNAcentral.